GACGGAGGGCGCAAGCGUUGUUCGGAAUCACUGGGCAUAAAGAGUACGUAGGCGGUCUGCUAAGUCAGAUGUGAAAGCCCUGGGCUUAACCCGGGAACUGCAUUUGAUACUGGCAGACUUGAGGACAGCAGGGGUGAGUGGAACUUCAGGUGGAACGGUGAAAUGUGUAGAUAUCUGAAGGAACACCGGUGGCGAAAGCGGCUCACUGGGCUGUCUCUGACGCUGAGGUACGAAAGCUAGGGUAGCGAACGGGAUUAGAAACCCUAGUAGUCC
Molecule: ribosomal RNA, 273 nt
Filed under: uncultured bacterium
Lineage: Bacteria
Description: partial 16S ribosomal RNA
Rfam family: Bacterial small subunit ribosomal RNA
Source: RNAcentral